RNAcentral lists this ribosomal RNA (399 nucleotides) under uncultured microorganism. Its description in RNAcentral is "bacterial SSU rRNA". It matches the Rfam family "Archaeal small subunit ribosomal RNA", at positions 330 to 738 of the family's 1478-position model. The record is from RNAcentral.
GCGCAGCAGGCGCGAAACUUUACAAUGUGCGAAAGCACGAUAAGGGAACUCUGAGUGCCUCCUAAGGGGCUGUUCAGGUGUCUAAAAGCACCUGGAGUAAGGGCUGGGUAAGACCGGUGCCAGCCGCCGCGGUAACACCGGCAGCCCAGGUGGUAGCCACUUUUAUUGGGUCUAAAGCGUCCGUAGCCGGUUGAGUAAGUUCCUUGGGAAAUUUGGCUGCUCAACAGUCAAGCUUCCAGGGAAUACUGCUCGACUUGGGACUGGGAGAGGUCAGAGGUACUCCAGGGGUAGGGUGAAAUCCAUUAAUCCCUGGGGGACCACCGGUAGCGAAGGCGUCUGACCAGACCAGGUCCGACGGUGAGGGACGAAGGCUAGGGUCGCGAACCGGAUUAGAUACCC